UAUAUAUAUAUAUAUAAUGUGUAUUAUACCUAUUACAAACUGAUUUUGUGAUAAGGUUUAUAAUUCUGGUGUAUUGCAGACCCAAAUGGCCACGUAAAGAACAUGAAUAAUCUUGUUAUAAGUUUAUAAUAGUUUGCAAAGCACAGGCCAUUACAUACAAAAAACUGACUUAAACGCAACACGUCAAACCUUGAGACAGAUGAGCUACAACAGCAGAUGACCAUAUCAGGUUCUACUCGGGUCAGCCAAGAAUAUGAACCUGUGGCUACAGUGGACACAGCUUAACCAAAACUGGACAGAUGAAGAUUGGAAAAAUUGUUGAUGUUUUUCUAGUCUUCCACUGACCAGGUUCUGUGAGCCUGUGCCAGAUGUAAAAAGUGGUUAUUUGAAUUAAUGUGUCUGUCCUGUCAGCCAGUCUCCUCUGACUUCUCUCAUCAACAAGACACUUUAACCUGCAGAACUGCUGCUCAUUGGUUGUUUUUUGUCAUUCUGUAAACUCUACAGGCUGUUUUUUUUGUUUGUUUGUUUGUUUUUCUGAAAUGUUUUUACCAACAUUUACAAUUUUACUAACGAACAUUUGUUGUGCACUGAUAUUACAAAACCCACAUCCAGUUUGUUUGGCAGGUAGAAUUAAAAAUACAUACAUACAUAUAUAUAUAUAUAUAUAUAUAUAUAUAUAUAUAUAUAUAUAUAUAUAUAUAUAUAUUUCUGUUUAUGCUGAUGGCUCAGCACAAGUUUUUAUUAUAGCAACCAGUAAUCAUUCUUAAGCCCUAAUCGUUUGCAUAAUUAUCAUUUGACAAUGAUAUGUUUAUAGGAAAAUUGCAGAUUAUUUUUGUACUCAAAAAUACUCAGGAGCUUUACAGAUGCAGUUUUGCCAACAAGCCUGCUCUUAUUGUAAUGUGUUUCUUUUAGUUACUGUGCUUUUCUUACAUUUCUGUCCUGUUAUGCAAGUGUGUUUCCUCUUGGUUUUCUGUCUCACCUCAACCGUUUCAACGUGGCAGCUCUCCGUUCCUUGUCUAUCUCUCGGCACACUAAAUGUGUGAGACAGUAACACUAACAAACUAUUACCGGACUUGAUUUCAAAAUAGAAGAGAGAAAUGAGUUCCACUUUCUUUCCUCUUCUUUCUCCCACGCUUGAUGGUAUUUUCUGACAAGCCUGAACUGAUUGGUGUGAGAAUUCUUAAUGAGCCUAAAUGUCUGCACAAAACCGUCAUAUUUUCUUUUUAAUUGGUGUUGUAGUGAUGUUGACACCGCACACACAGUCAGAAGGAAGUGUAUGAAUAUGAUGAAAUAUAUGAUGAGUAUGCACACACUUAUUAAUGGACUCAAAAGUAUGAAGUACCCACCCCACACACACACACACACACACACACACACACACACACACACACACACACACACACACACACACACGUUGCCACUUCUUAUACUUACUUUUCCACUUGCAGGUGCUGAUGGGGAUGAAGGGUGGGGGGAGUUAGAAAGUCAUUGUGCUGCAACUGUGUACAGAAGCAGGAGGGAUUCAUAAAGCACAGUAGAGACAACAACCAAAAACCCCCAGCAGCUGCCUCUGCACCAACCUGCUUCUCUCUGACAGUACAGCGAGUCCGGACCUGACCAAGCGGGAGCACGGCAGGAAACUUAGAAAGAGAAGAACCAGAGAAGAGCGGUAACAACCAAUUGUGUUGGAUUUUUAGGAUGUAUGGAGGACACAGAGGUUUCAGGUUUACCAGUCCAAAUGGGGAAAACAAGAUAAAGUAAAGGUGAGUCAGUUUUUUUUUUCUGAAGAACAUCUCUUUCCCUGACUGUGUGGCUUAGUGUCUAGAAGUCUGUUGUUUUCAAUGUGAGCUGGUGAACUGCAGCAUCAGGAAGUGGAGCAACCAUUACGAAUGCAAAGUGGUCAAGGUUAGUGUUCAACUUCAUGCAAAUUAGUCGCAGUGGUAGCUCAGUGGUUAAGACGUUGGACUAGUAAUUAGAAGGUCAUGCCAAGCUGCCACUGUUGGGACUUUUAGCAAGGCCCUUAACCCUAAAGCUGUAUAAAUGCUCAGAUGUAUAAAUGUACAUAAAUGUAAAUCACUCUGGAUAAUGGUGUCUGCCAUGAAUGCAAAUGUAAAUGUAGAAGGGAUGGUGGUUCACUCAUCCUUGACUCUGAAAUUAUCUGUGUUCCACAUACACCGAUCAGCCAUAACAUUAAAACCACUGACAGGUGACAUGAAUAACAUUGAUUAUCUCAUGACAACUGUCAUGAGAUAGCAACUGUCAAGGUGGCGACAGGCGGCUGAUUGAUUGAAGGCAAGCCUGUCUGGUGCAAAGUCCAUAGAAGACCUACUGUAGUACAAAUUGCCAAAAAAGUUAAUACUGUUUAAUGAUUUCUUGUACAUCAUGUGAACUUCUGGGUGUGUGUGCAUUGCUUACCUGGGGAAGUAAUGGCACCAGGAAGGCAAGCCACAGAGGCAGUGGGAUGCUCUGGGGAAUGUUCAUUCAUGUUGGUCCUGGCAUUCAUGUGGAUGUCACGUUGACACGUACCACCUACUUAAUAUUGUUUCAGACCAAAUACACCCUUCAUGGCAACAUUAUUCCCUAAUUACAGUGUCCUCUUGCAGCAGGGUAAUGCUCCCUGCCACACUGCAAAAAUUGUUCAGGAAUGGUUUGAGGAACAAAGAGUUCAAGGUGUUGACUUGGCCUCCAAAUUCCCCAGAUCUCAAUCUGAUCAAGCAUAUUUGGGAUAUACUGGACAAACAAGUCCAAUCCAUGGAGGCCCUACCUUGCAACCUACAGGACUUAAAGGAUCUGCUGCUAACGUCUUAGUGCCAGAUGCCACAGCACACCUUCAGAGGUCUUGUGGAGUUCAUGCCUCAACAGGUCAGAGCUGUCUUGGUGGCACAAGGGGGAUCUACACAAAAUUAUGGCAGGUGACAUUAAUGUUAUGGUUGACCGGUGUAAUUUCUCCUAUGGAUAGCUUCUGAGCCAGUUGGUUAUAUUUUGCUGUACUGUUACCACUCAAUGUGUUAAAUCAACCUAAAUAGAAUGGUGAUAUGCUGACUAAACCCAUAAAAAAUUUUUAUCCCAAUAAAUAGGUUGUAGAAAUCGUGAAAACGUUGUUUUAGGUCCACAGACUGUCAUAUACUUAUGCACAAGCCUUUUUUUAUCUGAUUACUGGUCUAAUGAGUGGUUAUGUAUACAUUCUGUCACUAGCUUGUGCAGAUAUUGUUGCACGUGUGGAUAUUGCAUUAGCCAUGCUCAGUGAAACCAUGGCAACCCGCAGUAAAAUAAAGAUUACUGCUGAAAAAACAAUGCCCAUUAGCAAAACAUUAUGGAGAAAUUUGACGGAUGUGCAGCAAAAAGGUCGCUAUUGAUGUGCAGGCAGAAUUUCAGUAUGUAUUCUAUUACACACCAACAUAUAGGCACUUCGAAAUGAACUGUCAAGACCAUGUAGCCUUGAGUGAGCUAAAAUGUAGCCAUUUCUUACUGUACAGUUGAACAAACAUUUUCUGGUAUUUUUACAAUCUUCUUCAUAAUGUUGCAUGAAUGAGAAGGUGUACAGAUGUUUCUACUGAAGUGGCCAUAAAGUGUUAAUCAAAUCAAAAUUAUCCAACCCCCAUUGCAAAUCAGGUUUAUUUGAUUUCUCCAGUCUCCAAAUUAUUCAACCUCUUCAUGGCAAGCAUCUGUAGUACUUAGUAGAACACACUUUUGUUGUCAUGACCUGCUGCAAACGAGAUGCAUUGCCAGACACCAGCUUCUGGCAGCAUUCCUGGGAAUUCUAAGCCCAUUCCUCAUGAGCAACGGCCUCCAGCUCAUUAAUAUUAUUGGGUUUGUGUACUGCAGCUGUCUUCUUCAAAUCCCACCAGAGAUUUUCUAUGGGGUUCAAGUCAGGUGACUGUGAUGGCCCUCUUGAAUCUUACAGGACUUCUUUUGCAACCAAGCCUUGGUGGAAUUUGAGGUAUGCUUGGGGUCAUUGUCCUGUUGUUAGGUCCAAUGAUGCCCAAGCUUCAGCUUCCUCACAGACGGCAUGAUGUUCUCUCCUAUGAUUUUUUGAUACUUCAAUGAAUCCAUCUUGCCUUCCACAUGCUGCAGGUUUCCAGUGCCACAGGUUGCAAAGCAGCCCCAGAGCAUCACUGAGUGUUCUUUCUUCAUUCUUCUUUCUCCAGACAUACCGCUGAUCCACCCUGCCAAAAAAAUCCAGUUUUGUUUCAUCGCUCCACAGAACAGAAUCCCCAAAAAAUCUGGUUGCAACAUUUGAUAGCUUCCUUUUUCUGCCCCGUCCAGGUAUUUCGUGUGUUCCAGCUCAAGCACACCUGGUGCAACUAAUUAAGCCCUUGAUUAGUUGCAUUAGGUGUGCUUGAGAAAACACUUGUUUUGCAUAGUUGUGCUGUUGUGAGGGAUUCUAUUCAGGGGUUGAAUAAUUUUGAGACUGGAGAAGUCAUUAUAAGUUGCAUUUUCAGUUGAAUUUGGGAAAACCACUUGAAGCAUUCAUUGUGUUGAACUAUUUCAAUUGCUUUUUUUUAAUUUGUUCAUUGCAAACAGCUGAAAUUCUGUAAAUUUUUAUAAUAAACCUGAUUUGCAAUGGGAGUUGAAUAAUUUUGAUUGAAACUGUAUGUGAUCUCUGUGGUCCUCUUCAGACUUAUUUGUGCAACUUUUAAUUGUGCAAUUUCUGUACUCUCAGGCUAUAGGCUGGCGAAAGCCUGUAGGUGUCGGUUUGAUGAGUUUUCUCCUACUUUUUCCUCCUGCACUAUUGUGUAACAGAUUACCUGAACUUUUGAACAAAUCUUUCUUGCUUAAUAGCUAAUGUACAUUCUCCCCGAUGUAAUCUGACUGUGUAUGCCGUCUGGUUCUCACACACUGUUCAUCAUACAUCAAGGCAGCACCAGAGCAAGCACAUCAAUCUUGGGAGAUUAUUACUUUUGCUUAUUUGUGAGUGUGAGAGAGAUCAGGUCUGCAAUAGAUCCACCAGAACGUAGCACAUUGUGUGUUCCUGGAUGUGUGUGUGUAUUAGUGUGUGAAUGCUGGUUUGAGAGGUACAAAGGGUCCUUACCUCACAGCAUUGGCAUUCCCUGAGAGAAUGAGUGCGGUACAGAGCAAAGGAGAGAGGGGCACACAGUGGGGGCAUUCAUAGGCCUUGUCCCCACGGGAAGGAACCAGGGUCGAGUAUUAGCCCCUAUUAAUAAACAAAGCCAGCCCAGCAGGGGCCUGGCGCACUACACUGACAGUGCGCAGAGAGAGAAAGAGCAGUUUGGGGGGGGCUAAAGGGAGAGGGAGUGAGAGAGAGAGAGAGAGAGAGAGAGAGAGAGAGAGAGAGAGAGAGAGAGAGAGAGCGAGCGAGCGAGCAGGGCAUUUGAGUUCAUGCCUAUAUGUCAUUGUCCCCUGGAACUGUCUCAUCGGACUAGCAUUUUGUAGCAAAGUGAAGUGUUUUAUUAUUGCUGCACUCCAGAUGUUGCUUACCUGCUCAUGAUGUCUGACUUUGCAGCACUGUUUCAUAAUAAAGAUGAACAGCCUUUAGAAGUCUGUUAAUCUUUUUGUCCCUUAGCAUUUCUUUGUUUCCUGUACAGUUUAAUCUACAGUUUGUUGCACAAUAUUUUCUUUAUCUCAUCAAAUCCAUUAGUCACACUGAAGGAGAUUAUUUGUAUAACUGAAAAAGAGGAGAGAAAGAGAGAGAGAGACUUUUUUUCAGUCUUUUUAGUUUAAUUCCAAAUGGUAUUGCCAUUCCCUCCAGGCCCUGAGCGAUAAAUUGGAAACAUGUGCUUAUAUGUAAGCUUAGCCAACAUCUUCCCUGCAGCUCAGCUCACCAUGGCAACAGUAAUUACCAUGCAUGUCUGUAAUGAUGCAGGGAAAACAGUGGCAAAUCUGUGGAAAUAUGACUUACACCGAGCCGCUAGUUUAUUAGGGACACCUAUCUCUCCUGUGUGAAUGUGCCUGGGCAUGUAUUCUAUAUAGGCUUUACAGUAUGUACACCUGCAGAAAGGACUGCCUUUCUCAGUCUCUGGAAACUGGAUGGCUACAAAUAGAACUGAGUUUUAUACAAACUGUUACAAUGGGCAGAUGAUCUUGGUGAGCAGUGAUGUUCACACACACACACUGUCAUUCAGAAUUUCUUCAGUGGGUGUUAGUGGCAUUGAUCAAGAUGGUGUGGGACCGGGAUCCUGUAGAACCAAACAAAAAGUUGUAGGAGCAGGUGUUUUUAGUCUCGUGGGUGGGAGCAGGACAAAGAAAGGCUAUGUUCAUUAACACGGAAGUGUAUUGGGCAUGGAGUGGUGCUUAUGUGGCGCUGCUGAAAUGUUUACCACAUCUGAUGUAAAUUGGACUUUAUUUGUUCAAUUAUCUUAUGUAAAUGCUUUAUCCUAGUCUGGUUCAUUGUGGUUAAAAUUUGAAUUUUGGAUAACAGAACCAACUAAGCUGAAUAAUAUUAGAAAAUAUUGUGGGCGUCAGUGCCGUAGCUAUGGGAGAGGAAUAUUUCCAGUUCCAAAUGGUUAAUUGUGGAGAAUUAACGUAACACACAUAUAGAGAGCAACUUAUUAUAUAAACAUUUUUUAACAUAAUUAUAGUGCAAUUACAGAGCAAAACAAUGUGAUUCAAUGUCAGAUAACAUUUUAUACAGCAGGUGUGCUGUAGUGAUAUUCAUAGAAGGUCAAUGGAGUCUUCCAUAUUUAACAACUCCGACCCUCAGAUGAGCAAAUUAACAAGUCCUGUGGCUUGUGAAAUCAGAUUUUAUUGGCUGCCAGUCAGAGAGAAACAAGAUUAACCAAUCAGAGUCAUGCAUUAAUCCCAUUUCAUUUUGAGAGCCAGCUCGCUACACACUGAGCUCAGGGAUCUCGAGUGACGGCGGGUGAUGAAGUACCACAGGUUGAUUGCUGGAGGAGAAACUAAACCAUAGAUCUGGUUUAAUAUGAUAAAAUAUAAUUUCCCCUAUUUCAAACAUCUUAUUUUAAUAAUUUUAAUUGGAACUGUCGUAAAGGUAUUUUAUGGAAACUUUAUUAAUAUAUGGUAAAUGGUCUGCAGUUAUAUAGCACUUUUUAACCUUAGUGGUUCCAAAUCACUUUACACUGGUUCUCAUUCACACACACACACACACUCACAGACCAAUGGUAGCAGAGCUGCCAUGCAAGGCACUAGCUUGCCAUUGGGAGAAACUUGGGGUUCAGCGUCUUGCCCAAGGACACUUCGGCAUGUGGAGUCAUGUGGGCCGGGAAUCGAACUUCCAACCCUUCAAUUAUAUACGAUUAUAUCAAGACUGGUUGAUGGUAGCUAGUGCCUUAAAUGAUUAAAGUAACAAAUUUGUUAUUUUAUAACAAAUCAGCACUCCUACUGCUAUCUGACAUCCACCCAAAGUACAUGAAUAUGUCACACUUAUUAUACUAACAGUAUAAUAGUACAGAUUAUAUAAUGCACAUACCUCUACUUCCAAAAAACUGAUGCUGAAUUAGCUCAGUAGACAUGUGCCUUUGUAUUCUUCACUGGCAACAUUGGUUUGCUUUGCUGACUUGACUGAUGUACCGCAUUCAAGACAAAUUCUAAGUGAAGCAUUCUGAGAUGUAAUUCUGCAUGCCAAUGUUGAAUUUCGAGAGUAGAUCUCUGGUUGUACCCUGCCUGUUGCUUGCCAGAUUUGUGCCAUCCUCCUUUAGUCACACUAUUACUUUACUGUAGUUAUAUUAGUGGUCAGAGUUUGUGGUUUACAGAUAAGAAAUUAGUGACUUAUACUUUACCAAUGUCUGUCAAGUGUGUUUCCUCUGUUCAAAUCAUAAAUCAAGAAACCUUGAGAGCAACCAAAAGGGAACCCAUCUUCUUCUGGGUGACAGUGGAUAGUGGGAAUAUAAAUCAUUACAGUAUACAGAUUUUAAAGGACAAACAAAGUAAAGGCCAGUUUAUGUUAAAAGGAUGUUCUCACUUCCACAUUCCAUAUAUUAUUUGUUAUCUUCCUUCGACUUGGAGUGACUCAGUGCCUUAAAAGUGAGACGCUCACAGUACUCCAAAACCACAUGGGGAAGGCUGACUGUACUCAUUACACAGAAUAUUUAUGAUCCCCUCAGUUAAUGCAGUCACUAUAAUGACUUAUUGUUGUGAUUUAAUCAUGCCCGGUAAGUAGUGUAAUGGACAUUAAGGCAUGUGGCAUAAUAAAUAAUGUCAGAACCCUAGAGAUUCAGCCUUCCACAGUCCAUCAGUAAAGCUGCUGGUGCUGUGAUUUGUCCACAUUUCAAAAAGCGCAUAUAAUUUAAUGUAAUGCAGCUAUGUGGUGUAGUCUUAUUCAUUAGAGUAUGCAGAGUCUACCUCCAGUCCUCUCCUAUACAGGUAGGCAACUCUCCUCACAUCUGGCCUGAAUAUUGAGGCUGAUCCAAGCACUCUAUCAACUUUUGAUAUUCCUUGCAUGCUUCCUAGUCAGCCUCCUUUAGCAUUUCUUGUGUCAAGUAUUGAGUGACAUAAAUUACCACGUGUUCAAGCAACUACUGUAGAUUUCGACAUGUGCUGCUGUUCAGGGGCCCUAAUGUUGGCAGGGACAUUAACACAUACUGCCAACAGUCUUUUAUCAGUUGGUAGUAGUUUCAAAUCAUUUGUAUAUACAGUUAGCUUCAGCAUUAUUGGCACCUUUGGUAAUAAAAGUUUGUGAAAAAAUGUCCUUGUACUUAAUUAGCAGGUCAAUCUCGCAUUGAACAUAUAAGAGAAAUCUAACCUUUAAUUGAACUAAAUUUAGUCUAAGAAAAAACCCUUAUCAAUAUAUACAGUACUGUGCAAAAGUUAUAAGUGCAUGAAAUGAAAUGCUGUAGAGCAAAGAAUUAAAUGUUUCUACAUAAAAAAAAAUACUAUAAAGAGCAAUAAACAGUAGUAAAUGAAACAAAGUCAAUAUUUGGUGUGACAUAAAAGUAAAAUAAUAGUCUCCGGUACAAUUUCUUGCAGUUUUAUAAGGAAAUUAGCUGUUAAGUUUUAUUGAGCAUCUUCCAGAAUCAGCCACAGUUCUUCUGGAGACUUUGACUGUCGCACUCACUUCCUAAUUUUGCAGCAAAACCCAGCAGCCUUCUUUGUGUUUUCUGUCUGAAUAGUGUCUCUUACGUAAUAUGCUGCAUUUCUUUAAUGACAUACGAACAUUUUUCUGUAGCCUUUGAUUUUGUGCUAGAAAACUAAUGUUUCUGAAUCUAAAAUGUUUUUUGUACUGAUUUGAUAAUGUAGAAGUCAUAAAAUAAAAAAUCUAUAGCAAAGUUUGUACUAAAAAAAGGGCCUAAAACCUUUGCACAGUACACACACAAAUGAAAUGAGAUAAAAGUCUUUAUAAAAAUACACACAUGUUUGAAAAUGCCCUAUCUUCUCUCUCAGGACAAUAAUUAAGAAGUUUAAAACAACUGAAGAUGUCUGGAAGAGGACGCAAAGUGUAUUUUGACCCCACACACAGUGAGGAGAGUGUUUAGAGAGGCAAACAUUUAUCACAGUUGGAGAUUUGUAGAAGAUGGUAGCAUUUUGGGGUCACCAAAUCUUUAAAUCUACAAUUAUACACCACCUACAUGCCAACAAACUAUUUGGAAGGCUUGCCAGAAGAAAGAAUUUUCUUUCAUCUAACCACAAACCACCUGGACUUCUCGAGAUGCUUGGGGAACUUUGACUGGAACCAGAUUCUAUAGUUAGGUGAGACAAAAAAUAUAAAACGAACACUAAAGGUAGAUUUGGUAUAAAAAUACGGAUGGUUCUACAGCAAAGGUCCUAAUCCUCACUGUUGAGUAUGGUGGAUCUGUGAUGAUCUGGGGCUGUUCUUCUGACAAAGACCCUGGGAAACUUGUUAGGACACUCAGCAUUAUGGAUUCCAUGAUGUAUCAGGAGAUCUUAAAUAAAAAUCUGACUGCAUCCGGGUUGUGGUUGGAUUUUUUCAGCAGGACAAUGAUUCAAAACAAGUUCACAGAAUCAAGCUUUUGACAUGGCCAUCCCAUUGUGAAAACCUGUGGAGUGAGCUGAAGGGGAGAGUCCACAAAGGAGGACACAGGAUUCUGUCAUAAGGAAAAGUCUCAGAUUCCUUGGUCUUUAUAUCUCAUGAAGCAUACUAAAUGCAAGGGUGGCAUUAACUGUGACUUGGUUUGUUUUCUCUCAUACUAUAUAUUAAGUCUAAGACUUAGCUAAUUUAUUUUCUGAUACUGAAAUUGAAUCCUCAAGUAUCAGCUGGUAUUGAUACCCAUUCCUUGAAAAACUACUUUAAAGCUUUAAAAAGAAAUUUUUUUUUACCAUUUCACAGUUAAACUCUUUCACACAAAUUCACGUACAUUGUAAAUAUAAUAAUGCAAAAAAAAUAAAUAUAAUAAAAUCAGUCCUAAGAAAAGGAAAAAAAUACUUUUUUUGGUAAAUAUUUCAAGUUCCAAAAAUGAACCCAAUCCAAUUCCUGUGUUUGCCAUUUUGCCAUUAUUUUGAUAUUCAGUGUUUUCUCUGAUAUUCGAUCCACCAUUUUUUGCUGGUAUUGCCCCGAUACUAGAUAUCACAUCUGUGUUUGCUCUAAACCCAUUUUUUAUUGAGAGUGCCAAUUCCAAUGGACUUGACCACACCAGCUUUGCCCAUCUAAUUGAAAUUUACUGAAAUUGAAAUAGUGAUAUUAAAAUAAAAAUAAAUGUCUUGCAUAAUCUGAAGACAAAUUUCAGACAACAGAUUAUUUGCCUUUUUUGCCACUCUUUAUUUUCUCUCUACAAACCUGGCUGUUUCUGUGUGUUUUGCACAAGAGAUUGCAUGAUAACAAGAGCAAGGGGUUGCAGGUUGUAUGUGCUUUGUAAUUCUCCUGCUCUAUAGAGAGGCCUGGGGAUGUCAGGUGCAUGAUGGGAAGUGGGCUGGCAGGGGACAGCAGCGUGGCGGUAGGCCAGAAUCAAUUGGCAGUGUAAUGAGAUGGCUGGGUGCCAGGUUACCAUGGAGUUCCCUCUGCCCCGCCUUCACUGAAGCCCUGGUAAAUUAAAGGGAGAGCAUGAGCUUGGGAGGGAGAAAGACGAAAGACGAGAGAGAGAAAAAAGGAGAGAGUGGGUGGUGGUUGGAUAGUAAAGGCCACUACCAAAGGAGAAGGUAUGGAGGGUGCUAGACAGAUGCAGUGAUCUGGAUGAAAGAAAAGAAAAGAAGAGAAGAGAAGAGAGAGCGAGGGUUGAAAUGCCACAGCUCCAGAGGAAAACAUAGUUCAGCUCAUAUGAUGUGGGUCUAUAAUAUGUUCUGAAGUCUUUUCCACACAAGGAAUUCAGUGUAAACGCUUUUGUCUUUGGUUGUGUGCCUCUGGAAAUGAGCGCUAUCUCCGUUUCUAUCACUGUGCCAGCAAUUAUAUAGCCUUUUCAUUCGUCACUCCUUAAGAUCACAAUCAGAUAGACUGGUGCUGGGCCACUCUCCUUUUAUCCAGUUUGAUCCAUCUUCAAAGUGAAUGCCACUAUUGUGCAAGGUUUACUGAAUUAUUAUGCAGUGUAGUUCAUUUCAAGCAUUGUGUUCUAUAUUAUUAUACAUUUUUUUUAGAAAGACCUUUGCUCAGGAGUGAUUUUAUUAAAGCUAUGAAAGCUAUGCUCUAGUACAUAUAAUAUUCUGUAUUAGCUAGAAUAAACCAAAGUGCUUUUAUUUUCAUAAUUAUUUUUUUAAUUAUUCAGCAACAUAGCACUUGGUACAGAUUGGUACAGGUUAGUCUGUGGUUAGUCUGUUUGAAUUUCAUAACUUUUAUUGCAAACCAACGUUCACCAUUCUGCUACUUAAAGUAAAAUCUGUAGUUUGCAUGUUCUCCACAUGCUUUGGGGGCUUCCUCCGGAUACUCCUUUUCCUCCCACAGUCCACAGACAUGCGUUGUAGGCUGAUUGGCAUUUCUAAAUUAUCUGUAGUGUGUGAAUGAGUGUGUGUGUGUGUGUGUGUGUGUGUGUGUGUGUGUGUGUGUGUGUGUGUGUGAUGGCUUGGUACCCCGUCCAGGGUGUCCUCCACCUUGUGCCCCGAGUCCCCGGGAUAGGCUCCAGGCACCCCACAACCCUGUGUAGGAUAAGCAGUACAGAAAAUGGAUGGAUGUUUUUUCUGUCACUGACACUAUGGUCACAUGGUACUAUAUGGUGUAGGUUUUAGUGGGUAUGUUUUAUAUAUUAUAUGUAAAAAAAUAUAUAUAUACAUAUAUAUUGUAUAUGAGGAUAUAAAUUUGUAAAAUGUGAUGUAAAAUAAUGUAUAUAAGCAUGGAAUAAUACACCACAGGGUGUGUUGUUAUAGUUAAAGAAAGAAAGAUGGGGUAGAGUAAUGUGGAUUAAGUUGAUUAUUUUUCAUUAACAGCACAUCCUACAGUGUUCAAUAAUAACAACCGCAAACAGCAGCAACUGUUACAAUGUUUUCUAUAUUAACGAUCAUCACAUUUGGUCUGUUGAUAGUUAUGCUGAAUGUUAUCACUUACAUAUUUUUAUACUGUAGCAGCUGUAAACAGUCAUCAUCCAUCCAUCCAUCGGUCCAUCUUCUACUGCUUACUCCUUUUCAGGGUCACGGGGAACCUGGAGCCUAUCCCAGGGAGCAUCGGGCUCAAGGCGGGGUACACUCUGGACAGGGUGCCAAUCCAACGCAGGGCACAAUACAGUCAUAAUCUAACAAUCUUUUUAAGACAAAACAUGUUUCACAGAGAAACUGCAAAGCUCUCCACACUGAUGACUUUCCCAUGUUCUGUACAGUUAUAGUUCUGGUAUGCAGUACUGACAAUAGAGACUCCAUUCAAAAAGGAUAAAUAAUUUAAUGGUAAAUAAAUUUCCUCAGAGAAAACUUAACCGAGAUUAAAUUUAACUGGUAUUAAAACUUAAUAUCGAGAAUGACACAUUUUUUUAACGUUUUUAUGUGCCAAGUCCCUGUGUCAGUUGCUGCUAUAGAAACAAUAACAUUCGAACAAAUGCUUUAAUAUAAGAGCCAAGCUAUUAUAGAAAAUACUGAAUAUCAAAACCUUCUGACCAAUCAGAAUCAAGCAUUGAUAUAAGUAAUAAACAUCCAUCCAUCCAUCUUCUACCGCUUACUCCUUUUCAGGGUCACGGGGAACCUGGAGCCUAUCCCAGGAAGCAUCGGGCACGAGGCGGGGUACAGGGUGCCAGUCCAUCACAGGGCACAAUCAAAUACACACUCAUUCAUACACUACGGACACUUUGGACAUGCGAAUCAGCAUACCAUGCAUGUCUUUGGACUUGGGGAGGAAACCAGAGUACCCGGAGGAAACCCCCGCAGCACGGGUAGAACAUGCAAACUUCGCAUACACAUGGCCCCAGCGGGACUCGAACCCCAGACCCUGGAGGUGUGAGGCAAACGUGCUAACCACUAUCAUGCUGUUACAGGCAAAUAAUCAUUUUCCAAAGUGUUUUAUGCUUCUUAUAUCACUGCGAUUUGCCAACUAUUAUAAUUUAAAAUGUAUUAAUGAAUGCCACAUCAUAUUUUUUUUUAACAGUUUAACAUUAGUUACAUUUAAUGUUGUGAAACAUCUGUGAGACAAGCUAGUUCCUGCUAAAAUUUAUGUUACAGAACGUGAAGUUAAUUAGAGAAAAAUUCAGCUUAUCAUGCUACCAAGAAACCAGAAAGUGGAAACUCCUCUGUCCUUUAUUGACUAUUACAAAACACUGACACUGGAGACUCCUUCCAUAAAUGUUAAAUAAGCACCUGCUUGCAGAAAUUUUAAACAUAUCAAUGAUUAUGCAUCUUUGUAUCAGACAACCUGAAGAAGGAAUUUCUGCUAAUUACUUCCCCUUAUUUUUGUAUUUCUACUAUGAAAUAGCCAUUUAAAUAAAGGCUUUUAAACAAUUUCAAACAGAAGUGUGCCUUGGAUUGCAUGUUUUGGAUUAUGUUUUUUUACCCCCACCAAAGAGCACCUUCAAAUAUACUCCACAGAACUUCUAAGCAUACCAGAUCUGUUUUUUGAAACGUGUAUUUAAUUGUUUAUUAUUAGCCUUAGACGUGGACCCUCUGCCGUACACAUUUCUGUGAAUGAGCUGUUACGAUAGAAACGGUAAAUUAUUGGAAUGGGCACAUUAAUAUAAAUUGAAUAAAAUGUAAUCUAAAAUUUUUUUUGAAUUAUAUAAUUAAUAUAUUACAGCCAUAACUACUUCAGAGCCAUGAUGUUGUAGACAGUUAAUCAACAUCUUCUGACCAGUCACAAUCAAGCAUUCAGCAGCGCUGUGGUAUAAUGAAGUAUAAUUAAUUUUUAUAAAUGAGUAAAAUCUAAUGACUAUAAAACAUUGCAGUGGUGGUAAAUACACAGCUGAAAGACAUAAACACAAUUUGCUCAACACAACUUGUACUCAUUAUUUAAUCAUAAUUAAUGUUUUGGUAACAUUGAUUUAAAUAAAUGUGAAGGUGUGGCUGAAGACUCAAGUCUCUCUGGCUGACCCUGGCUCACAUUUAAACAUCUUGUUACAAUUUGCAACUGAUUUACUAGAACUCUGGCAGGUCAUUUUAAACAUGCACAUAGGACCUUCCCAACCUAACUACAUUGCUGUAUUGGAAAUACCGGAAUUUGGGUGUGGCUUCAACUGCUAGCAGUGGCCCUGGGUUCAAUUUUGCAGCUGUGCUCACUGAUAUCAUGGGCAUAUAUCUCACACACUUUCUGUUGACGUGAAGAUUCCAAGACUAUAAAGUCCUGUAUUUCUAUUAAGAAUUGAGUCUAUUCUGUAUAUGUGGAAUCUAGGAAUGAAGAGGAUGUCUGUUUACAGUUAACCAGUUUGAUAAUUGAUAGUAAGAUCUUUUUUUUUUUUAAUGACUGCUCUGAUAUCUUUUUGAUUGUGUAUGCCUGGGGGUAGGUGUUGUCAGUAGCAGCAGCUGGGCACGGCUGCGUGUGCGCAUGUUUGUAUGUAUGUGUCUGAAUGGCAGGUCGGCUGGGGACACAAGCAGCUAUGACCCCAUGACAAUGUGGGAAAAAGCACAGCAAACAGACCUACAGUACAGUGCCCGCCCCUUUAGACCCUCAGAACCAAUCAGAGUGCUCGUCUGGCGUGCAGGGUGCAGUAACAGCCACAGCAGCUUCGGAACAGAGUGGACAGUGUGCGCCGCCAUGAAUUAUGGGUAGCACCAGAAACAAAGAGGUUCUUCAUCCUUGCCGAGCUCCUUGCGCAUCCUCUUAUAUGAAGCUCUCUGUGGUCUGCUUUGCUUAUUGUCUUUUCAAGAAAAAAAUAAGCAACGAUGCAACCACUCCGAUUUUUAUUACAGCUCCCACACAAAUGCCGCACUAAUAGGUCUACCAGUGUUUUUUUUUCUUUCCCAUGACAUCAUCGUAAUGAAGGAGUUCUUUAUUUCCCCAAAGAUAGACUAUAAUUAAGCAUUAGAUCUACUGGGCAGAAGGUGUCGUCUCACCUAAGAUAAUUUAGUUGCUUUUAAAUCAUUUGAGAUAUUUGAGUGUGGAUGUAGAAGUUUGGUUUGAUCAUGCACACAUAUUCAGUCUAAUUUCAACAACUGCUAAAGAUUGAUUUUUGAUAUUUGAUACGGAUGCUACCAUAAAUGUAAAUUGGUCACUUGAAAAAUGUGCGAAGUGUAUAAAACCUUUUUUUAAUAGAAGAUAAUGUCAAUUAUAUUGUAACCCACAUAGCUUUGUAUGAGAGAAAGGCUCGAGGGCAGCUGUGGGCAGCACCGUCUACGUGUCUGCAUGCAUAAAACGGUGUUUUGAAUGCAGCGUGAGGCUGCUGCUAACUUCGUCUGGCAGGUCGGUAGAGAGGGAGAGUGCAUGUGUUAGGGGAGACUGGUGGCCCAUCUGUUUGAGAUGGGGGUUAAAGCGAGGGAUUGGUGGAGGGCUGCCGCAGUUGUGCGUGAGUGGAAUGUUGGAGAGACUGUAUGAGAGCAGGAGAGGGAGAGGCGUGGAAUUUAUAGGGGUGAGACACAGUGCCAUCUUAAUGUACUGUAGUGUGAGUGCGUAUGUUGAUCGCAAACACAGCUGUACAGUGGAGAAAGUCAUCACAGCACUCAGGAGUCGCUCCCUCAGUCCCCCUCACUCACCCUUCCCCCAUACGCAUGUAUGCAUACACGCCUUCCCCGCCAGUCUGUGCGUACUAUAGGAAUGCUGUGCGCUUUGUUUACAGGCAAGGCAAUGGGGAAAUGGCUCACCGGUUGCUGGGUAUCCCCUGGGAAACCAUUGCCAUUGGCCGCAGGGUGUUUAGGAUUAUUUGGGUGUCAUGGUGUCAGUCUCACUUUGCCGAGUAGAACAGGCAGCUGGGAAUUAAAGAGCAAGAAUCAGGAGAUUGCAUGUCUGGCUUGAGAAACUGACCUACAGUGACAUACAGUUGUUCUCCUCUCGCAGCUCCGGCACUGACAGCAUACACCAGACAUAGCUAAGCGCUAGCUUAGGUCACCACUGUUUUUAUUCACGUGCGUGUAUUUAGAGUGCUCACUCUGUUUUAUGGGUGUCUGCAUUGCCACAUACUAAAUCUGCUUGCUGCUGAUCCUUAGAAAAUAUGAGGAUCUGCUCUGCUGUUGUUCACUUUGUGCUCAGCAACCAGUGCAAACUGUCAGCUAAACAAUCGUGAAAUUUACUGUUGUGUCCAUGCGCCAUGCUUUCAGCAUUGUGUGAAAGUGUUAAUCUUGCUGCAAUGAACAUAUUGUCAGGGCUUGCCAAAAUGGCUUCUCUGUAAAAUAAAUAAAUAAGCAAGCAAGUAAGUAAAUAAAUAAAUUGUAUGUAUUGGUGUGGAAAUGACAAUUUUUUUUGUUUGUUUGUUCAUAAACACAGAAACAAAAACAAUUAUUGACUUGAUUAGAAUUAUUUUGUUUGUUUGUUUGUUUGUUUGUUUGUUUGUGUAUGUGUGUGUGUGUCAGCUAAAGGUGGCAAAAAGCCAGAGGGCACAUUUUAAGUGGCAAAUAGAACUGCAGAUUAGUAUUUAUUUUUGGUUUAGGGAAGUCUUCCAAGAAGCAUGUGUGUGUGUGUGUGUGUGUGUGUGUGUGUGUGUGUGUGUGUGUGUGUGUGUGUGAGGGUGGGGGUUUGUUCGGGCAGAGGAUCUGGGAGAGGCUAGCAGGAGGAUGGUAGAGAAGUUUUACCUGGACUGCCUCUUGUGGCAGCAGCUGGAAGAGGGGAGCAGGCAGAAGGGACGAGGUUAAGGGGUGACAGCAUUAUUGCACAACUAUUUCCUCCCUAGCCAGAUUUCCACAGUCUCUUUCUUUUCUCCUUCGUUUUAUUCAGCAGUGAGAGUGAAAGCGAAUGAGAGUGGGAGAGAGCACGAGAGAGAGAGAGCAAGAGAGAGAGUGAAAGAGAACCAAGCCAGUUUUUUUUAAGACUCGAUCUUGGCUUUCUUACAAACAGAUGUUGCCUGUCAUUUGGUCGUUAAGCAGGCACCCAUUUCGUGGAUUCAGAGGUUUUACAAGCAUUAAAACCUCUAGGUGUAUUUAUGCUUUUACUAUCAGGAAAAUCAAUCUUUUAUAAAUAGCGAAAACUUUUUUUUUCUUUUUUUAAUUUAUAAAAUUUACUUUUUUUUCAGGGGGUCUGAAUCAUAUUCCGCAUUGUUUUCGUUAGUCUUUCUUUGCUCUUUGCGUUUCGUUAUCAAGUUUUUUUUCUUUAAAGUUGCAUGUUUUGUGUUGCUCGUGGGCCACAGUGGACUGGACUCUUCAAACCUCCUGCCAAAUGCUGCAGGCACAGUGAGUAUAGACAGACGAUUUGGAAACAAUAAAACAGAGCCUUGGUAAGUCACUAUUAACAUGCUCCGGAGCUCGACUGUAUUUUCAGCGUCUGAAUUCUGCACUUGUCUUUUGUGUGUAUCCCACGUUUAACGCUUCGUAUGAGGUGAAAGGCCUAGCGCAUAUCCACAUAGUUCUUCAUAAACAGUGAUUUGCUAUUUUUAUUUUAAUAAAUAAAUGAAUGUUUGAUUCGUUGUUCGGCUGGGUUUGAGUUGUGCAUGCAUGCUGUGCAGUGUGUGUGUGUGUGUGUGUGUGUGUGUGUGUGUGUGUGUGUGAGAAAGAUAGUGAGUGAGACAGAGGUUUUUUUGGGGUACGUCUCCCCCACAGUGCUGGAGUCUUUACUCCUGUGCUCCUAAAGGCAAGACAAUCAUGUAUUUUUUCCCCUCUCUUUCUGCCCUCUUAUUGAAGAGGGUGUUUUAACUUCUUGGCAUCACCUCACUAACAUAGUUAAAGGAACCUGGCACCAGCAUCAAAGUCCAAAUCCGGUCAUUGAAAUUCAAGUGCUGGGGAGUACCUAAAGUAAAACAUCCAUCAGUCCUUUAAGUGUGAGUGCUGGAUGAGUCCAAAUUGAGCAUCAAAUAAUUUCACACAGGCCCACUUGUUAUUAACAGCAGCAUAUUAUACUUUGCAGGCCAGAUUUACUUCACAUGUCUCUAUUAGGGACUCUUUCAUCUUUUCUCUGCCCAUUUUAAGCACAUUCAAAGCUGCAUAAUAAUACAUUUAAAAAGAAACUUGUUGGUUAACAGUGUUCAAGUGCUCUGCGUGCUUACGGAGCAAAAUUAACAUUGAGACGUCAUUGUAAUUCUGUUUACAGGUUUUUACAAAUAAGUAGUUUACUAGUAGCUAUAUACUGUAGCCUAGUGGUAAAUUCAUAAUACCAGAAGUAAAUGCAUGCUGCAUAGUAUUCAUUAAAAACAGUUGGCAAAUCUGGAUAUUUUCUGUUUCACUCUGCUGUUUUAAGCUGAUAAAUAUUUGAGAAUAAAAAGCUGAUUUUCAUUUACAUCUGGGUUUUGUGUGAACACAGAUGAAAAAGUUAAUGCUUGAUAGUUGUAGAUUAUGUAAAAAAAAAAUAAAAAAAAAAGCCCUUGAAAAUAUUCAAUUUGAUUCAAUUCAGAUGUAUUAUAUAGCACUGUUAAUAAUAGAUUUUGUCACAAAGCAGCUUUACAGAAAUCCUUACAGAAAUGACAGAAUAUAGUCACUACUACCUUGCAGGCCCAUAGUUUACCUGACUGAGCAGGUUUAGUGGGAAGCGAACAAGUGCCUGCUGGGAUUUAAAAAUUUCUGAGUUUGAGAUUUUUCGCUGCUUUUUGCAAUCUCACGUGUCUUCCUAAUGAAUGUUAAACACCAUUUGUUCUACACUACUUUGAUAUUUGAUUUGAUAAAGUAGAGCUCAGUUCUGAAAUAUUCGUAUUACAAAAUAUCCUAACAAAUGAUGUGCAUCAUCAUUUAUCAUCAUUUUGAGGUUUCACUAUAAUCUUUCGUGUCAUGUUUAGUCAUAGCACUUACUUAUCACGGUUAGAUGUUAAUUCUAUUACAAUUUUAUUUCUAUGUCUUCUUCUAAAAUGGAUUUUUUUUUUGUAAUUUAAAAUGAGAAUUUGAUAUUUCAUAUGAGCAUUUUAAAAGAAAUUUAAAUAAAUUAUUUACAAUUGGCCUUUUUGUUCUUAAUAGGUUAUUAAUUAUUAGAACAGCACAAUGAUACUGUAUUGUAUCAUCAGUGUAUGUAUCAAAAAUAUGUUCAGAAUAAUCAGAGAAAUAGUUGGCAUAUUACUGUUUUUCUAUGUAGUUUUUUUUCUACUGUAAUUUUAUUUAUUGGUGCUUUGUAAGAUUAUUUUGCAUGCUGAGUAAAAUGCAUUGAUAAUCUUUUAACGCUUCACUCCCACUUUAUGGUUUUUACUUAUAAAUCAUUAUUUUGUAAACCCCCCCCCCCCCCCCCAUUAAUGCCUUGUCUUUUUUCAAUAAUCCUUUCUGGUGGUUUUGUUUUGAUUUUUUUUGUAAAUCCUUGGGAGAUCAGAUACUGCAGGGGAAAUUCCAAACACUUGCCAGCCUCAGCCAGACCCGACCUUUUGCUUUACUCGUUAUUCACAAAAUUCCAUACUGGUUUCACCCUUGUUUUUUUGUUUGUUUGUUUGUUUUUUAUCGAGCUCUCUGUAUGAUUUCUCCGAGCUAGUUGUUCUGCUGUGCUCCUUUUUCUGUGAUACCUUUCCUUUAGAAAAAUUAGCGUUAUUUUUAACCAAAGAUAUGAUGGCUCCAUUGUGAAACUUUACAGACAUUUCAGGAAAAUUAUGUUUUAAAAUAAAAGCUUGUAUUGUUAUGUGAAUAUAGGGUGUGGUCAAAAUGUUAUUUGGGUCUAAACAGUAAGUGAAUAUCUUGAAUAUCAUGUUGACGUACAUUACACUUAGAUGAGUGUAAUUUCACCAUAUUUCUCUUACAAACAGUCGUACGCUAUUACUAUUCAUGUAGCAACUGUUAACUGCACUUUGCACAGCCACAUGCAAGUGGCCUUCAGUCCACAUCCAGAGUGAAAUACAGACUCUCUGUACUUAUGAUUCAUGCAUGUGUAUGUUUGUAAGAUACAAAAGCAAACUGAGUCGUUUAAAAGAGUUAGUACUCAUCCUUGCCAGUGAAACACUUCUGUGUAUAGGAGAAGUAGAAUGAGCAGACCAGUUGAAUGUAAACAAUUAAAAACAUGAAUAAGUGAAUAUUUAUGGAUAUUUUAAAUAUAUUUUAAGAAUAUGCAAACAAAUGUAAAAGCAUGAGUGGCUAUCAACAGUCAAAUAUGCAAAUGAGCUGCAUAAAGCUUGCAAUAACAAAACAAAAUAGAAAAUAUUAAACUAUUUAAGUCAAAAUGAACUUUAUUUGUAGGAUACAUCCACAUGUGGCUUAGAAAAAAUACAAAUUAAGGUUAAAAAAUGGAGAAAAAACAUUAAUUAAUUAAAAAAAAAGUAAAUUAAGUUUACAAAUGUACUUUGUAAUGUAAAAGUGCUAAGGAUGCAAACUAGGAAAUUGGACACAGGCUUUGCAGCACCAGUCAUGUGACAGUGAAGGGUUUUUUUUCAACAACUUGAAGCUAUUAGACAUGCAAUUGAAAACAUAGCCAAUAGAUCACCCAUAGACGAGGGGGCUGUGGCUCUAUGAUUGUAAAGGUAAAACAAGUGGGUUCUCCAUGUUGUAAAAUCAGGUGGUCUGGUUUUCUAAGGAUGAGAUUAACUGAGACAGCUACAGCUGGACUGGAAAUACAUCCAUAGUCUGCUUGCCACAUGAAGUAAGCGAAGUAGAGGAAGUUCUAAAUGAUGCUUUGUAUGUGUUAAAAAAAAAUUAAUAAAAGCCACAAGCACAUUAUGGUAUAAAAUUAAACCAAGGUUUCAGACAACCCAUGUUCUAAAGCUGACAUUUUCUGUAUUUAAAACUGUAGAUACAUGGAUGUAGUUGUGUGGCAGCCUGAGAAAACCCUUCACAUGGCCCUUCAUUUGGACAUUAUCUUCUGUACUAUAUAUACUGUACAGUAUUGUGCAAAGUCUUAGGAACCUUUUGUUUAUUUAUUUAUUUUUAUUUUAUUUUUUUAAAUAUGAAUCUUACAUGUUUAAUGUUUUGUGCAUUAUUGCAUCAGUAAAAAGGUCUAGUUUUUAGAUUUACAAACGUUAUUUUUUUCACAAAAAAACCCAAAACUUUGAUGUCAGUAAAGAAAACAACCAGCCAGUUUUCUCAUAAAAAUCUGUGAUGUGCACCUGAGACUGCUGCAACAUUUUUAAAAGCAAAGCAUUGUCACACCAAAUAUUGACUUUGUUUACUUUAUUGGUGUUUACUUAACUAUAGGGGGGGUUUUUUACGUAAAAAAAGUUUAAUUUCAUUAUUUUUGAAGGCAUAUUUACUUCUGGUCAAAACAUUUGGCAAUUUUCCACAAUUCAGCCCCACCAACCAGCAUCAGAUUGGGUUUUGUAGAUCACCACACAAUAUCUAGAACCCUGUGCAAGAAAUCACAUGAGGAGAAAGGAACUAGAUUGUUGAUCAAGUUAUGAACUUGAUCACCUGCAUGGUUCUUCCACUAUAUCUGAUUCUACGUGACUUUGGAGAAAACAAACUACAAACACUACUUGAUAAUUCCUCAACACUUUCUCACAUGCAGCUUGUAAGACAGAUUUGAAGUGUAUUUGGGUGUAUUGGAAUAUUCAGGAUUUGAAUAAUUUAUUUUAAAAAAUUAAUGUUGCUAUUAAUUAUUUAAAGCUAUCUGUGUGUCAAUCUUCUUGGAAUCCUUUCUUUGAGGUCUCAGUAAAAAAAUACUGUAGUCACAUUAUUAACUUUUUGAUUUUUCUCAAAAGCUAGAACUUUGGAGGAUGCUACUGCUGGCAUAAAAGUCUAUUAGCAUUAUACAAUGCAGUUUUUAUCUGUGUGAAUAUUCUUAGUAUAGCAACUUGAAUAAGAACUAUAGGUUCUAGACUUUGGAUCACACAUCAGACAUAGAUCAAGCAUAUAUAAUAAUUGAAUUAGUAAUGGCACUGUAGUGAUAUACUUUGUCUUUUUUUUUUAAUUAUUAUUCUCGGAGAGACAUGCCUGCUGACACAAACCCGUAGAUCCGAACUUGUGGUGACUUUCCACACAAGCUUGUAUCUAUAGGUAUCUGUCUGUCGGGCCUUCACAACUGCCUCAUUUGCCAAUUCAGUGUUGUCUUUACUAAAGGUUUUGCCGUAACCUUUAUGACAGCCUGAAACACAGAUUUACGGCCUCAUUUGAAGUUUGGAGAACAUCAGGUUUAGCAUUUCUCAUAACAGAUUGCCUUAGCAUUGGAGUAGUUUUGCUGGUGGCAUGUAUUUUGUAAGCAGGUUGCAGUGAUGAUUGUGCCAGCUUUCAGUCUGACAUUACACCGUGACAUUCAGAUUGUUUCUCUUGGUAGACUCAUGGACCUUUACUUAGCUCCCCUCAAAGUUCUUCCAUGCUCCCCAGGCUGAGGUAGUAGGUUGUAUAGUUUAGAGUUAUACUAUGGGAGAUAACUGUACAACCUCCUAGCUUUCCCUGAGGUAUGCAUGCUUCAACUACAUCCUAAACUAAAUAUAUACAUGAUGCCACAGAAUAACUAGUGUUAGUGUGUAUGGUGGGGUAAAAUUGUCAGCAAAAAAAGGACUCAUAGUUGGCAAAUUAAGUCUAAAAAUUGCAUCAAUAUUUAUAUUGUUAAAGUUAUGUGUAUUCAGAGAUGGGUUAUGCACAUGUUGAAGCUCAUUCUCUGAGAGGGCCGUUCAUUAUGCAGAUCACUUGCAUGUAUUUCACAACUCCAAGGUUGCAAGAGUUUCCUUUAGUAGAAGUAUCUAAGACAGGAGUUUUCAGUAGCAUCUAGACCAUGCUUUAAACCAUAAGCACUUGCUUUUAAGCCUGAAAACUUACAGAUAGUCAAUGCAAACUGAAGAAUCAGACAUCAGUUUUUUUCUUUGCUGCCAAAUAUACAGGGUGUCCCAAAAGUCUCUAUACGUGGAGGAAAUUAACACUUUUUUUUUUUUAGCAAAAUGCUUCCAAAGUUUUUCAUACCUAGUUUAUAUAUAUUAAUA
Molecule: long non-coding RNA, 23093 nt
Organism: Ictalurus punctatus (channel catfish)
Lineage: Eukaryota; Metazoa; Chordata; Actinopteri; Siluriformes; Ictaluridae
Source: Ensembl